UUACUGUUUAUUUAUUAGUGGUCAGUGCAGUCAGGUAAUAGUAAUUCAGCUUAACUAUAAAAUACCAGGAGGGAUAAUUGAUACUAUUUCUUAGAUAGGAACUCAGGUUCCUAAAAGCCCACCUCUGGAUUAAUACCAGAGGAUCACAGUUGUCUGAGAAGAACUAGAUAAUAAAUAUCUACUUUAACUGAAUUCAUUUUAAAUGGGUACUAAAUUUUAUUAAAAGUGGUGAAAUGUAAUACAAUGAGGAAAUUUUUUCAGAAAUAAAUAUAAAUAUUAUGAAGAUAAAAUUUAUUUGGUAUGUGAUAAAAUUAGAUUAUAAUUGCUUCUGUGGGCUAUUUCUUCAUAAGGUAUGGAUGGAUUAAAUGUUGGCAUUUUGGGUGUAGUAUUUCCAAAAACACUUUAUGGUAGCAUGAUAUUAAAUCCCCCAUUUAUGACUUUUGCAACAAAAUUAUUAAAAGAAACUUAUUCCAAAAGACCAAAAGUCCUUUAAUGAUAAAAUAACUAGAAAUAUACAUCACAUCAUCAUAGCUGUCAGUCUUCUCUUCUGUUCUAUGACAGCAGUUUAGCUACGCCAUUUUGCCAUUGCAAUCAUUUUUGUGAUUUUAGCAUUUCUUUAGUCUCACUGCAUGAAACACAUUUCCUCUCGUGAAAUUUGUGGUAACAUGUUAAAAUCAAUUUGCAUUAAUAUUUCAUAUUAUUCCAAAACAAAUUCAAGUACAACAUCUAUUGAUAAUAAUGAACAGGCGACAGACAAUAAAGAUGUGGUAAGGAGAGAAAGAGACCAGUACUACACAGUACCACACAGAGGAAAAUUGGAGAGAGGACUACUCUUAGAAGUGAUUGUUUUAUUAGUGAAACUUUUUUCAUCUUAGCUUUUCUUCCUUACAUAACCGAACUGUGAAUUGGGGAAUAAUAUUGAGUACCCAUUCAAACAUGAAUUUCUAUAAUUACUACAGCAGUGAAAAAUUUGAUAUAACCUUAAUGUUUCUUAAUAAGGGAUUAAAUACAUUAUAGUGUAUGAUAG
RNAcentral lists this long non-coding RNA (1027 nucleotides) under Macaca mulatta (Rhesus monkey). Its description in RNAcentral is "lncRNA (ENSMMUG00000055470.1)". Lineage: Eukaryota; Metazoa; Chordata; Mammalia; Primates; Cercopithecidae. The record is from RNAcentral.